AUACGGAAUCUUAUAAUGUAAAUGCUAUCACAGAAGGAAUACGUGUGCAAGAUUUUGAUGCAAUUGCUGAAAAGUAUCUUCCACUUCGACAUCAAUUGUUUUAUUUUUUCCUGAAAAUUUCACUCACUAGCUUAUUUCUAUAUAUUACUUUUGAUAGUAUAAAUCAAGGAGGAAAUGAUAGAUUUACUACUGCCCUUCUUCCAAAUAUACUAACAGCUGCUAUUCCAGCACUUGCAGAAAAAUUUUGCUCUCCCUUUGACAUUGACGAAGCAUUAAAUUUUCAUGCAGAGGAAAUUAAGUUUGACUAUCUCGAAGUAUUUCAAAAACCUUCUGAUAAACUUCCAACUACAAGUACGAUUUGUCCAAAAUGUUUAAUGUAUAUUCUACCUCUUUCCUAUUCUGUAACAGAAUUUAUAUCAUUCAUAUUUAAUACAAUAAAUAGGCGAAAAUCACCUGUCGCUGCACAGCCAUGUUCGACAAAUUCUUCCACCAACAAUGAUGAAAGUGCUCCGUUACUCAUCACACCC
RNAcentral lists this long non-coding RNA (527 nucleotides) under Mytilus galloprovincialis (Mediterranean mussel). Lineage: Eukaryota; Metazoa; Mollusca; Bivalvia; Mytilida; Mytilidae. The record is from RNAcentral.